UUCUGGGCCGCACGCGCGCUACACUGACAGGGCCAGCGAGUACAUCACCUUGGCCGAAAGGUCUGGGUAAUCUUGUUAAACCCUGUCGUGCUGGGGAUAGAGCAUUGCAAUUAUUGCUCUUCAACGAGGAAUGCCUAGUAGGCACGAGUCAUCAGAUCGCGCCGAUUACGUCCCUGCCCUUUGUACACACCGCCCGUCGCUACUACCGAUUGAAUGGCUCAUUGAGGCCUUCGGACUGGCUCUUGAGGGCUCGCUACUGCACCCCACAGCCGGAAAGUUGUUCAAACUCGGUCAUUUAAAGGAAGUAAAAGUCGUAACAAGGAUUCCGUACGUGAACCUGC
This 341-nucleotide ribosomal RNA is filed under the name Trichocomaceae sp. LM302. Its description in RNAcentral is "SSU rRNA". It matches the Rfam family "Eukaryotic small subunit ribosomal RNA", at positions 1480 to 1818 of the family's 1831-position model. Lineage: Eukaryota; Fungi; Ascomycota; Eurotiomycetes; Eurotiales; Trichocomaceae. The record is from RNAcentral.